RNAcentral lists this ribosomal RNA (279 nucleotides) under uncultured bacterium. Its description in RNAcentral is "partial 16S ribosomal RNA". It matches the Rfam family "Bacterial small subunit ribosomal RNA", at positions 506 to 784 of the family's 1533-position model. The record is from RNAcentral.
UGCCAGCAGCCGCGGUAAUACGUAGGGUGCGAGCGUUAAUCGGAAUUACUGGGCGUAAAGCGCACGUAGGUGGAUGCUAUAGUCGGAUGUGAAAGCCCUGGGCUUAACCUAGGAACUGCACCCGAUACUGGGCGUCUAGAGUAUAGUAGAGGGAAGUGGAAUUUCCGGUGUAGCGGUGAAAUGCGUAGAUAUCGGAAGGAACACCAGUGGCGAAGGCGACUUCCUGGACUAAUACUGACACUGAGGUGCGAAAGCGUGGGGAGCAAACAGGAUUAGAUA